AUGGCCGUGAGGGGGCUGGAUCUGGUUGGGGAAGGAGCAACGAGACAGGUUGUCGAUGAUGCUGUGGUGGCCUGGACCGUCGUUCUUGGCCGCGCCGCACAGGCCGCCCUCUACGGCAGCCGCUCCGUCGUCCUUGGCCCAGCCAUCUGCAGCAGCAGCAACGUCGACUAUGGCGAAGAAGGGAAGGAGCAGGCGGGCGCCAUGGGGAGGAAGGGGAAGAGCAGGGCAGAGCCAUGGGAAGGAAGGGAAGGAGAGCAGCAGGGGGCGCCAUGGGGAGGAAGGGAAGGAGAGCAGCAGGGCGGCGCCAUGGGAAGGAAGGGAAGGAGAGCAGCAGGGCGGCGCCAUAGGGAAGGAAGGCGAGAAGCAGGGGCAGCGCCGCAGGAGGGAAUCAGUCGAGAAAAAAGGACGAGAGACAAUGCUAUUUACAAUUACAUGAGGAAGGCGGUGGUCGGCGGCGUGUACGCCAAUGGCGGCGGCUGGGCAUCGGUGGCGCAGUCUAAUGUCAUCAUGGAGAAAUUGUUCAAUUUCUCGGAGCAGCUUCAGGUUCAUUUCGUCAAGUUUUUCUCUGUUGACCCUCUUGGACAUCGUGGCGACGUCAGGUGUUUCCUACUGGAUUUUGGUGGAGAAGUCUUUUUCAUCACAAAGGCAUGGGGACGCGUUAUGGUUCUCGGCAUCGAACCAACGGAGAAACAGACGCUCGCGCCUGUGGAGACCGUGGGCAGGUAUGCCAUCUUCAUCGGUCAUCAAAGGUGCCUGGUUGUUGAUGCCGCCAUGUUCCCAUCCGUUGAGGCAGACUGCGUCUACUACACUCUAGACGUUGGUAAAUUUGCUUUCAUCUGGAAGCACAGCAUCAGUGAUGGGAAAGACGAGAGGGUGUUUGACGCCAUCGAUUUCGUCAAGGAGAACAAGCGGUUCGUCCCUGUCGGUGCCCGUCCUUUCACCAUCAUCCAGCUUCUCUCGAGCUACACCAUCAACCUCAGCGAUUCUGAACUGGCCUCAACACAAAGCUUUUAUCAGGUGUUGAUGAGAAUACAACAGCAGGCACAGAACAUUAGUUUGAUACUUUGGAACCUUGACAAGUGGGUUAAAUUCUUCAUCUCCAGAACUGAAAUGCAUCAGGGGCCUGAAGGUCCUGGAGGCUGGGGUCUUGAUGAAUUUAAUCCCCAGUUAUCAUCCUUUCCCACCCAAGAGGGCUUGAGGCUUGAGAAAUGCCUGGCUUAUCAAUCCAUGGGCAUGUUCACAAAUAAACCUAGAGUUACAUGUGAUGAUUUGGCAGAUAUAUCUCGAGGUGAUGGCAAGUUCUGGGCCAUUGAUAAACCAGGCAUUUCUCGGACCCCCUCUUUGGUGGAAAAGGAAGAUAACUACAAGGAGUGA
This 1374-nucleotide ribosomal RNA is filed under the name Triticum aestivum (bread wheat). RNAcentral's name for it is "partial small subunit ribosomal RNA". The record is from RNAcentral. Lineage: Eukaryota; Viridiplantae; Streptophyta; Magnoliopsida; Poales; Poaceae.